This 504-nucleotide ribosomal RNA is filed under the name uncultured fungus. Its description in RNAcentral is "eukaryotic LSU rRNA". The stretch from base 157 to 310 matches the Rfam family "5.8S ribosomal RNA". The record is from RNAcentral. Lineage: Eukaryota; Fungi.
UACAGAACGCCCGGGCUUCGGCCUGGUUAUUCAUAACCCUUUGUUGUCCGACUCUGUUGCCUCCGGGGCGACCCUGCCUUCGGGCGGGGGCUCCGGGUGGACACUUCAAACUCUUGCGUAACUUUGCAGUCUGAGUAAACUUAAUUAAUAAAUUAAAACUUUUAACAACGGAUCUCUUGGUUCUGGCAUCGAUGAAGAACGCAGCGAAAUGCGAUAAGUAAUGUGAAUUGCAGAAUUCAGUGAAUCAUCGAAUCUUUGAACGCACAUUGCGCCCCCUGGUAUUCCGGGGGGCAUGCCUGUUCGAGCGUCAUUUCACCACUCAAGCCUCGCUUGGUAUUGGGCAACGCGGUCCGCCGCGUGCCUCAAAUCGUCCGGCUGGGUCUUCUGUCCCCUAAGCGUUGUGGAAACUAUUCGCUAAAGGGUGUUCGGGAGGCUACGCCGUAAAACAACCCCAUUUCUAAGGUUGACCUCGGAUCAGGUAGGGAUACCCGCUGAACUUAAGCA